Myodes glareolus (Bank vole) is the source of this 818-nucleotide non-coding RNA. Lineage: Eukaryota; Metazoa; Chordata; Mammalia; Rodentia; Cricetidae. The record is from RefSeq and is a predicted model, not a curated record.
AUGCCACCAUUAAUAUCCAGAAAGGCAAACUUAACUUUCUUUUAUGAGUAGACCAUCAAACUGAGCUGGACAGGUACCUCUAAGUCAGGAGUGUAAUACAAAGGACAUGUGGAAAUCCCCAGUUUGUCUCAUGAAAACAGGGUGGAUGAAGUGGCAAUUAGUGUGCGCCUUGCAAAGUCGAGACUGACACAAAUCCCAUGGCCUUAAUGAAGGAAAAAGGGGUGAAACGUCUAAGAGAAGCAGUGGGGAUUUACAUCAGCACCCUCAAAACAGAGUUCACUCAGGGCAUGAUUUUGCCCACAGUGAACGGAGAGUCGGUAGACCCAGUGGGUCCGUCAGCACUAAAGACUGAGGUAUGCCAGGCUAAGUCUGCUCCUUCCAAAAGCCAGGCCAAACCUGUUGGUGUCAAAAUCCUCACUUGUAAGACUUCCCUUAAAGAGACCUUCCUGACGUCACCAGACAAGCUCUAAAGAAUGUUUAUCACCUCGGAGCUGGUGCAGGCCUUUCCCCAUGCUCCUGCAACCUUAGAAGCAGACAAAGGUGGGACACUCCGCAUGGUUGAUGGCAACGUCACCGGAGAGUUUACUGAUCUGGUCCCUAAGAAACACAUCGCUAUGAAGCGGCAGUUUAAGCCAUGGCUAGAGGGGCACUUUGCUACCAUUACCUUGACCUUUGUUGGCAAGAACGGAGAGACAGAGCUGUGCAUGAAAGGCCAGAGCAUCCCUGCUCCUGAGGAAGAGCGGACGUGGCGAGGCUGGCAACGGUACUACUUUGAGGGCAUCAAGCAGACCUUUGGCUGUGGCACUCACUUGUUUUAG